UACGGGAGGCAGCAGGGGGAAUAUUGCACAAUGGGCGAAAGCCUGAUGCAGCUAUGCCGCGUGUAUGAAGAAGGCCUUAGGGUUGUAAAGUACUUUCAUCGGGGAGGAAAAAACAAAACUAAUAAUUUUAUUUCUUGACGUUACCCGAAAAAGAAGCACCGGCUAACUCCGUGCCAGCAGCCGCGGUAAUACGGAGGGUGCUAGCGUUAAUCAGAAUUACUGGGCGUAAAGAGCACGUAGGUGGUUUUUUUAAGUCAGAUGUGAAAUCCCUGGGCUUAACCUAGGAACUGCAUUUUGAAACUGAAAUACUAGAGUAUCGUAGAGGGAGGUAGAAUUCUAGGUGUAGCGGUGAAAUGCGUAGAUAUCUGGAGGAAUACCUGUGGCGAAAGCGGCCUCCUAAACGAAUACUGACACUGAGGGUGCGAAAGCGUGGGGAGCAAACAGGGAUUAGAUACC
This 456-nucleotide ribosomal RNA is filed under the name uncultured bacterium. RNAcentral describes it as "bacterial SSU rRNA". It matches the Rfam family "Bacterial small subunit ribosomal RNA", at positions 340 to 786 of the family's 1533-position model. The record is from RNAcentral.